UACAGAGGGUGCAAGCGUUGUUCGGAAUUACUGGGCGUAAAGCGCGUGUAGGUGGCGAUGUAAGUCGGGUGUGAAAUCCCUUGGCUCAACCAAGGAAGUGCACUCGAUACUGUGUCGCUUGAGUAUCGGAGGGGACGGCGGAAUUCCCGGUGUAGAGGUGAAAUGCGUAGAUAUCUGGAGGAACACCGGUGGCGAAAGCGGCUCACUGGACCCGAUCUGACACUGAUGUGCGAAAGCUAGGGUAGCAAACGGG
RNAcentral lists this ribosomal RNA (253 nucleotides) under uncultured bacterium. RNAcentral's name for it is "partial 16S ribosomal RNA". It matches the Rfam family "Bacterial small subunit ribosomal RNA", at positions 524 to 776 of the family's 1533-position model. The record is from RNAcentral.